Molecule: ribosomal RNA, 517 nt
Filed under: uncultured bacterium
Lineage: Bacteria
Description: bacterial SSU rRNA
Rfam family: Bacterial small subunit ribosomal RNA
Source: RNAcentral
CGAGCGAGAAAGGGGCAACCCCGGUAAAGCGGCGCACGGGUGAGUAACACGUAGGUAAUCUACCCUCGGGUGGAGGAUAACUUUCCGAAAGGAAGGCUAAUACUGCAUGAGACCACGAUUCCGGAAGGGAUUGAGGUCAAAGCCGGCCACUGUACACAAGCUGGCGCCUGAGGAUGAGCCUGCGGCCCAUCAGCUAGUUGGUAGGGGUAAUGGCCUACCAAGGCGAAGACGGGUAGCUGGUCUGAGAGGAUGAUCAGCCACACUGGAACUGAGACACGGUCCAGACUCCUACGGGAGGCAGCAGUGGGGAAUCUUGCGCAAUGGGCGAAAGCCUGACGCAGCGACGCCGCGUGAGUGAUGAAGGCCUUCGGGUUGUAAAAGCUCUGUGGAGGGGGACGAAUAAGGGCUGGCUAACAUCCAGCUUGAUGACGGUACCUCUUUAGCAAGCACCGGCUAACUCUGUGCCAGCAGCCGCGGUAAGACAGAGGGUGCAAACGUUGUUCGGAAUUACUGGGCG